Molecule: long non-coding RNA, 778 nt
Filed under: Dermacentor andersoni
Lineage: Eukaryota; Metazoa; Arthropoda; Arachnida; Ixodida; Ixodidae
Description: uncharacterized LOC126545240
Source: RNAcentral
UGUCAGUGACGGCGACAGCGUGCGGACGCUGAAUACUCAAGCGCAUUUAUUUUUGCAGUUGGCGGCCUGGCUUCUUCUUUCUGGAGUGCUGGAAGAGGCCUUCUUUCACGCCAAUGACGCAUCCUCGAUUUCCUGGCCUGUGAGGCGACACUGCAUUCGUACCGCUUCCAGCAUAGUCAGUGACGCCAUCUGAUACAAGAGUUAAGAAACUUGGAAUUGCCGCGACGGGUAGGCCUUGUUUUCGUGCGGCGAGCAUCACUUUGGCAGUGACGGCGAUGGCGUGCGGACACUGAAUACUCAAGCGCAUUUAUUUUUGCAGGCAUGGAUACUUCGUGAGCAGGGAGCAACCUUGCGAAUUGCUGCGACGGAAAUUGUGCUGCCACAGACGCAUGAGAAACCUGUCAGCGAAAAUCGCUCUGCGACGUGCGCAGCAGAAUAAUUUUUAUCGUCCCAAUCGCGCCAUGUGAAACAGCCUUUUGGCUCCGGGUUGGCAAGCGGCAUGGACGUUCCACACGUGCGCCGAUCCAUGCUUCUGCGAGACCGUCUCGCGAUGCCUACACCGGAAUGGACGACAAUGAUCGUUCGAACGCGCCACCGUUCGUGUGACUGUACGCGCAAACGACCAGGCAUUAAUGUCCAGCAUGGGAUGGGAUGAACAUAUUUGCUUGCUAUCCGGUCGUGUUUGUCGCGCGCCCAUCGGCAUGUUUUGUGGAUGGCAACUCGGCUAGAAGGCAUUAGUCUAUGAAAUGUGCAAUAAAUGCACUUGUGAUUAUUUGCA